Molecule: long non-coding RNA, 834 nt
Organism: Perca fluviatilis (European perch)
Lineage: Eukaryota; Metazoa; Chordata; Actinopteri; Perciformes; Percidae
Exons: 2
Source: RefSeq, a predicted model, not a curated record
AGCGGCAUCGCUCGCACCACUGCCGCCGGAGCAGUGGUUGAACUUUGGGAAGCUCAUUUCAAAAACGUGUUUUUGAGUGGGCUGCUCCCUGACAUACGAGCUGAAGUGGACAAAACCUGCAUUGGACUGCCCGAUUCAGCCCUGAUGGAGAUUGUUAGACAUGCUAGACAUGCUGAGAAAAUCCUGACCAGCACAAGAGACAAGACGGAGAAGAAAAGACAACAAAACAGUGAUGCUGCACAGUUAACCCUCAUAAAAACUGUGGCAGCAAUGUCUCAAGAAAGAAGGAAUGCGGGCAGAGGAAAAGGCAGAGGCAGAGGAAAAGGCAGAGGAAACAGAGGCAGGGGCCGUGGCAACACACCGAUAGUGGACAAAGACCCUUGCAACAACUGUGGCGAGAAAGGGCAUUGGGCCUACGAAUGUCCCCACCCCAAGAAGGACUCGUCCAAGGGACAGCGCAACGACCCCCAGCAGUUUGCAGAUUGACAGGCGGUGGGGGAUGGAAAGACGGGUGGAAUGGACGGACUGGAUGACACGAGUGCGCCUGUUAAGGAGGGUAACAUGCACACACACACAGGCUGCUGAGCUCAUUGCCCUCACGGAAGUUGGCUGAUGGCUCAUCUGUUACCAUCUUCACGGACUCAAGGUAUGCUUUUGGAGUGGUGCACGACUUUGGUGCACUGUGGAAGCACCGACGUUCUGUGCUAUCUCUGAAAUCAAUCGGGGAGAAACUGGAGUUUUUCUCACUGAUUUGCAAACACACUGAAGGAGGAGAGAAAGUGUGACCAACAUACUGGUAUUGUACCUUUUUGAACACAGCACAUUCCUGAAAAA